GACGAACGCUGGCGGCGUGCUUAACACAUGCAAGUCGAACGGUAAGGCCCUUCGGGGUACACGAGUGGCGAACGGGUGAGUAACACGUGGGUGAUCUGCCCUGCACUUCGGGAUAAGCCUGGGAAACUGGGUCUAAUACCGGAUAGGACUCCUGGCUUCAUGGUUGGGGGUGGAAAGCUUUUGCGGUGUGGGAUGGGCCCGCGGCCUAUCAGCUUGUUGGUGGGGUAAUGGCCUACCAAGGCGACGACGGGUAGCCGGCCUGAGAGGGUGACCGGUCACACUGGGACUGAGAUACGGCCCAGACUCCUACGGGAGGCAGCAGUGGGGAAUAUUGUACAAUGGGCGCAAGCCUGAUGCAGCGACGCCGCGUGAGGGAUGACGGCCUUCGGGUUGUAAACCUCUUUCAGUAGGGACGAAGCGCAAGUGACGGUACCUACAGAAGAAGGACCGGCCAACUACGUGCCAGCCGCCGCAGUAA
RNAcentral lists this ribosomal RNA (478 nucleotides) under uncultured bacterium. RNAcentral describes it as "partial 16S ribosomal RNA". It matches the Rfam family "Bacterial small subunit ribosomal RNA", at positions 28 to 523 of the family's 1533-position model. The record is from RNAcentral.